RNAcentral lists this ribosomal RNA (441 nucleotides) under uncultured bacterium. RNAcentral describes it as "bacterial SSU rRNA". It matches the Rfam family "Bacterial small subunit ribosomal RNA", at positions 28 to 465 of the family's 1533-position model. The record is from RNAcentral.
GAUGACCGCUGGCGGCAGUCCUAACACAUGCAAGUCGAGCGGUAACAGGAAGUAGCUUGCUACUUUGCUGACGAGCGGCGGACGGGUGAGUAAUGCUUGGGAACUUGCCUUUGGGAGGGGGAUAACCGCUGGAAACGGUGGCUAAUACCGCAUGAUGUUUACGAACCAAAGUGGGGGCUCUUCGGACCUCACGCCCAGAGAUAGGCCCAAGUGAGAUUAGCUAGUUGGUGAGGUAAUGGCUCACCAAGGCGACGAUCUCUAGCUGUUCUGAGAGGAUGAUCAGCCACACUGGGACUGAGACACGGCCCAGACUCCUACGGGAGGCAGCAGUGGGGAAUAUUGGACAAUGGGGGCAACCCUGAUCCAGCCAUGCCGCGUGUGUGAAGAAGGCCUUCCGGUUGUAAAGCACUUUCAGUGGUGAGGAAGGCCCUGCUGGUUAAU